Molecule: ribosomal RNA, 620 nt
Filed under: uncultured bacterium
Lineage: Bacteria
Description: bacterial SSU rRNA
Rfam family: Bacterial small subunit ribosomal RNA
Source: RNAcentral
ACGGCAGCACGGGGGCAACCCUGGUGGCGAGUGGCGAACGGGUGAGUAAUGCAUCGGAACGUGCCCAGUAGUGGGGGAUAACGCGUCGAAAGAUGUGCUAAUACCGCAUACGCACUACGGUGGAAAGCGGGGGAUCGUAAGACCUCGCGCUAUUGGAGCGGCCGAUGUCCGAUUAGCUAGUUGGUGGGGUAAUGGCCUACCAAGGCGACGAUCGGUAGCUGGUCUGAGAGGAUGAUCAGCCACACUGGGACUGAGACACGGCCCAGACUCCUACGGGAGGCAGCAGUGGGGAAUUUUGGACAAUGGGCGCAAGCCUGAUCCAGCCAUGCCGCGUGAGUGAAGAAGGCCUUCGGGUUGUAAAGCUCUUUCGGCCGGAACGAAAUCGUUCAGGCUAAUACCUUGAAUGGAUGACGGUACCGGAAGAAGAAGCACCGGCUAACUACGUGCCAGCAGCCGCGGUAAUACGUAGGGUGCAGGCGUUAAUCGGAAUUACUGGGCGUAAAGCGUGCGCAGGCGGCUUCCUAGGUCAGAUGUGAAAUCCCCGGGCUUAACCUGGGAACUGCGUUUGAAACUAGAAGGCUAGAGUGCGGCAGAGGGGGGUGGAAUUCCACGUGUAGCAG